ACACAAGCGACUUGCCUGAUGUCAUAGAGCUGAGAAGAGAGAGCUGUGGUUUGAAUUAAGAGAGCCCUGAAGAGCCUCCAGCCUGCAACUGCUGUCUAGACUGUUCUCUGAAAACAGCACCCAGAUUCUUACCUGAGCUUUCCACCACCUUCUCCAGGGCAUCACCUGUACCCUGGAUCCCACUUCAUUGUCUUUCUUGGAUUCUUCCCUUCUUUCGAGGGGAAUACUUCCUCCAGUAACUUCCUGAGGAAGGGGACUAGGAGUGGGACCUUCAAGAUGGCGGAGGAGUAAGAUGUGGAGAUCA
Kogia breviceps (pygmy sperm whale) is the source of this 304-nucleotide non-coding RNA. Lineage: Eukaryota; Metazoa; Chordata; Mammalia; Artiodactyla; Physeteridae. The record is from RefSeq and is a predicted model, not a curated record.